This 492-nucleotide ribosomal RNA is filed under the name uncultured bacterium. Its description in RNAcentral is "bacterial SSU rRNA". It matches the Rfam family "Bacterial small subunit ribosomal RNA", at positions 30 to 521 of the family's 1533-position model. The record is from RNAcentral.
AGUGAACGCUGGCGGCAGGCCUAACACAUGCAAGUCGAGCGGCAGCGCGUCCGACCACCCUCGGGUGGUCGGAUGGCGGCGAGCGGCGGACGGGUGAGGAAUGCAUCGGAAUCUGCCUCGUUGUGGGGGAUAACGUAGGGAAACUUACGCUAAUACCGCAUACGACCUACGGGUGAAAGUGGGGGACCUUCGGGCCUCACGCGAUGAGAUGAGCCGAUGCCGGAUUAGCUAGUUGGCGGGGUAAAGGCCCACCAAGGCGACGAUCCGUAGCUGGUCUGAGAGGAUGAUCAGCCACACUGGGACUGAGACACGGCCCAGACUCCUACGGGAGGCAGCAGUGGGGAAUAUUGGACAAUGGGGGAAACCCUGAUCCAGCUACGCCGCGUGGGUGAUGAAGGCCUUCGGGUUGUAAGACCCGUGUCGAGGGGGACGGAAGUUCGUGACGGUACCCUCCAAGAAAGCACCGGCUAACUCCGUGCCAGCAGCCGCGGU